CCGCCCCCUUCCUACCCCUAGACCAUCUGUUUUGUUCUUACAAACCCCUCAGACCCGUGGAAAACCGAGGCGGACGAGCCCCUCUUCAAAAGAGGGGGUGGGUGGGAUGAUUUAUUUGCUUUUGGUUUUAUUUUUGGUUUUUCCCCCUCUUUUCUGAUGCUCCCAACUGCUUCCACAGACGCGCCAUCGCAGAUGUCUCCCUCCGAAGUUUGAGGUGGCUGAAAUUCCUUGUCCCAUUCCCGGCAACAUCACGAGGAUGAAAGGACGGGCAGAGGCGCCGAACGGUUCAGUUUCCACCCCGUAGCCCUCGGGAUCUAUUGGAAUUCAGCGAGGAAAUUAAUUUAUUGAAGCAUGAAAAUCCCAUACGGAGCCACACAGAAGGGAAAGCUCAUUAAACUAUGCAGCAAUUAGAACACACGCAGAACACUUGAACUUACCUCCAACAUGUUAAUAGGUCCCAGUUCUGAAACAAGAGGAAUAUUUUGCUGCAAGAAUGCAACGGAACAGGAAAGUCUUUCCACCCACUCCUCUCUGGCCAAGCUGAAAGAAUGGGGUUCUUUUAGACUCCAUACUGAUAGUGUUGUAAAAGAGUAAUGGUAAAGAUAAUAAAAGGAGCUACAGAAACAACAAACUGUAAACAGGAAUCCUGAGCAGCUGUCACCCUGCGAGUCAGCUCAUGUUUGGUAACAGGCUUUUCCGGAUCCUGCAUUGCAACGUUACAUUAAUAAGCUGCACAGGGUACUUUCAGGUGAGCCCCAUCAGCAACAGACUGUACUUUAAACUCAGAAGCUAGGAGGGCUUUGUAAAACUACUAGUGAAGAAAUCUUUUUCCUUGUAUGUGAUACACAACUGAAGAGCCUGGAGAUGAUAACGCAGAGCUGUGUUUGCAGCCGUUGUGCACAGCAGACAGAUCGCAGGCACACACACACCUGUACCCCCACUGUGGCUUGUGCUGCACAAUAAGACCACAGGACAGCCGCCGGGGCUGGAAAUGGAGAAAAGCAACACCUGCCUGGUCUGCAAGUUUCACCAGUAACUGGUUUCCUCUUUGAAACUUGGACUUUGCCAUCUAUUUCAUGGGUGUGGAGCUUAAUUGGCACGCACCAUUUCUUGGCUACAAGAGUCUAGCAUGCAAACUCACGCAUGCAAUCCAAGCCCUUGUAAUUAUUUUAUCAUCCACUGACUAGGGAGCCAGUUCCCCGCGUGCGCUGACAAAACCAGGUGCCAAUCCAUUCUCGCCUGAGUUGUUUUGCCUAAUUCUUCUAGUCCAUCCAGCUGCUGGAGGAACAGCUGUCUGGAGUUCAGCCCCUACAGUGGGUAGCUCAUCAAUCAUAGAAUCGUCUAGGUUGAAAGGGACCUUAAAGAUCAUCUAGUCCAAACAUCAACCUAACUCUGACAAAAAAAUAAAUAAGAAAUAAGCAAUAAAAAAAACCCCACUCAACCAUAUUCUUGAGGACCACGUCAACCUGUCUUUUGAACACCUCCAGGGAUGGUGCCUCAACUACUUCCCUGGGCAGCCUAUUCCAAUGCUGCUUAAUGCCUCGGUUACUGUUCUCAGUGGUCCAAAACUUGCACAUCUAAUAGGAAAAGCAGGCAGUCAUUUCCUGUGACAUUUCAUUUCUCAGUUGCAGGCAAACGAACAGAAGAAUUGGUAAGGAAGGUAAUACAAGUUUCACAUGGGAGAGAUGGCAAAAUCUUAAACUUUUGUUGUUAAAUCUUUAUAAGGUCGUUUAAAAUGAACCCUUACCAUUCACUCCUCCAUCUUUUUAAAAGGCAUUUAAUCUUAGAAUGUCAGGUUUUCCUUCAGCUCUGCCCCGGUUUUGGUAAAGUAUGUGUAUCUGAUUUUAAACCUGGUUCUACAGACUCUCAAAAGGAGCCUGGAAGCCUGCUGAGCCUCAGCAGCAGGUUCAUUUACCAGCACACCACAGCGGCUUGUUGCAAAGCUCUUGGGCCUCUGUCUUUCAAUUUCUCCAGCUCCAAAUACUCCUUCGAAGAUCCGGAUGGUUUGUCAUUUGAAGCCGUACCCUAGCAGUUCACUGAAGACUUCCGUGAUCUGGGUUUUGCAGAAUUUCAGGAAACAGAGUCAUUUCAGAUUGACAUCACUACCACGAAACAUCCCCCGUUAAAAACCGGACUAUUCUGAGUGCACUGGGGACACCCUGUGGCAACCUGCUGAACCCUCAAACAGAAAGGGCUUCGAGGUGUUGGUCAUUUGUCUUCCUUCAGCGCCAACGCCUGUCCUCACUUAAGGACCCAGCAAGGUGCUACCUCUGUCGCAAUUUUGGCACAGAGAUCUUUAAGCACCAACAGUAACCAGAAAGACUGGGUUGAAACUAAUUACUAUGGGAAUGGCAAAAAUAUUCCCAUGUAAUUUAAAAGUACCUUUAGAGUGUGUA
Calidris pugnax (ruff) is the source of this 2396-nucleotide long non-coding RNA. RefSeq lists it as uncharacterized. Lineage: Eukaryota; Metazoa; Chordata; Aves; Charadriiformes; Scolopacidae. The record is from RefSeq and is a predicted model, not a curated record. The transcript is spliced from 3 exons.